UACGUAGGGUGCGAGCGUUGUCCGGAAUUAUUGGGCGUAAAGGGCGCGUAGGCGGCCAUGCGUGUCUUCCGUGAAAUCCCUCGGCUUAACUGAGGACGUGCGGAAGAAACUGCAAGGCUCGAGUCCGGGAGAGGAGGGUGGAAUUCCCAGUGUAGCGGUGAAAUGCGUAGAUAUUGGGAGGAACACCGGUGGCGAAGGCGGCCCUCUGGACCGGUACUGACGCUGAUGCGCGAAAGCGUGGGUAGCAAACGGG
RNAcentral lists this ribosomal RNA (253 nucleotides) under uncultured bacterium. RNAcentral's name for it is "partial 16S ribosomal RNA". It matches the Rfam family "Bacterial small subunit ribosomal RNA", at positions 524 to 776 of the family's 1533-position model. The record is from RNAcentral.